RNAcentral lists this ribosomal RNA (500 nucleotides) under uncultured bacterium. RNAcentral describes it as "partial 16S ribosomal RNA". It matches the Rfam family "Bacterial small subunit ribosomal RNA", at positions 29 to 523 of the family's 1533-position model. The record is from RNAcentral.
AUUGAACGCUGGCGGCAUGCCUUACACAUGCAAGUCGAACGGCAGCACGGGAGCAAUCCUGGUGGCGAGUGGCGAACGGGUGAGUAAAGUAUCGGAACGUGCCCAGUCGUGGGGGAUAACGUAGCGAAAGUUACGCUAAUACCGCAUACGAUCUAUGGAUGAAAGCGGGGGAUCGCAAGACCUCGCGCGAUUGGAGGGGCCGAUAUCAGAUUAGGUAGUUGGGGGGGUAAAGGCUCACCAAGCCGACGAUCUGUAGCUGGUCUGAGAGGACGACAAUCCACACGGGGACUGAGACACGGCCCAUACUCCAACGGGAGGCAGCAGUGGGGAAUUUGGGACAAUGGGCGAAAGCCUGAUCCAGCCAUGCGGCGUGCAGGAUGAAGGCGUUCGGGUUGUAAACUGGUUUUGUACGGAACGAAAAGGUUUGACUUAAUACGUUGGACUCAUGACGGUACCGUAAGAAUAAGCACCGGCUAACUACGUGCCAGCCGCCGCAGUAA